RNAcentral lists this ribosomal RNA (253 nucleotides) under uncultured bacterium. RNAcentral's name for it is "partial 16S ribosomal RNA". It matches the Rfam family "Bacterial small subunit ribosomal RNA", at positions 524 to 776 of the family's 1533-position model. The record is from RNAcentral.
UACGUAGGGUGCAAGCGUUGUCCGGAAUUAUUGGGCGUAAAGAGCUCGUAGGCGGUUUGUCGCGUCUGCUGUGAAAACCCGAGGCUCAACCUCGGGCCUGCAGUGGGUACGGGCAGACUAGAGUGCGGUAGGGGAGAUUGGAAUUCCUGGUGUAGCGGUGGAGUGCGCAGAUAUCAGGAGGAACACCAAUGGCGAAGGCAGAUCUCUGGGCCGUAACUGACGCUGAGGAGCGAAAGCAUGGGGAGCGAACAGG